This 193-nucleotide ribosomal RNA is filed under the name uncultured bacterium. RNAcentral describes it as "partial 16S ribosomal RNA". It matches the Rfam family "Bacterial small subunit ribosomal RNA", at positions 326 to 539 of the family's 1533-position model. The record is from RNAcentral.
ACGCUCGACACCUAGGCAGCAGUGGGGAAUAUUGCACAAUGGGGGAAACCCGUGAUGCAGCAACGCCGCGUGAAGGAAGACGGUUUCGGAUUGUAAACUUCUGUUCUUAGUGAAGAUAGUGACGGUAGCUAAGGAGCAAGCCACGGCUAACUACGUGCCGGCAGCCGCGGUAAUCUGAGCGGGCUGGCAAGGC